GUGGUAAAAUUCCCCUUCUGUAGAGAAAAACAACAAAACAUAACCUGGCCUCCUUUGGCAUGAUUCACAGCAUAGCAAGAGUCAUAGUGUCCUUCCUACCUUGUGCACCUACACUCCCAUUCUUCUUCUUAUGCCUAUUUUAUGCAUCAUCGUAUACUCGUGACAAAUUUCAGGGGAGCAGACCUAGUCAGAAAAGUCAGCUUAGUAUACAAGCAAGUUUUUUCCACACAACUGAGAGUAAAACUGACCAGGAAAAUGAAGAGGAAAAAAAUUCUAACAUUACCUGUGUUUCUCAACUGCAGGAACGAACAGCUGGUCAAACUACAGAAGCAAAACGUGAAGUGAGGCUGAUGGAUAAGAAACAUUAGUUCAUCUGUGAAAGUGCUUGCUACAGUUCAGUAGUGGAGGAAGGCAACAGCUGGUCUGCGCAUUUGUGAGUGAGCAGCAUUUAAUAAGAGAAGAAAAGAAGGAAUAAUGUAACUUGAGGUGAGUCUUGGUGACAAUGUGAUCCAGCAUAGAAAGAAUUGCCUGCUGCUAUGGAAAUCACUUGUGUGAGGUGCUAAACAGAGCAAGCCAAUUACGUAUCACAUUGAAGAGAAAAAGAAAAGAAAAAGUAUGCUUGAAGGUAGAUAUGAGUCUUUCCAGGAAACCUCUUUGAUCUGCAUGAUGAUUUUGUCCUUUAAACUCUCAAAUUGUGAGCAAACAACAUGAAAAUGACACUAGUGAGAUAUUUUUCAUCAUUUUCAGCAAUCAUUAUAGUUUAUCUCAUCUGUUUAUAUUAAUAACCCUUUGCAAUUCUGACACUGAAAUCUGUUUUUUCCUAAGAGUGUUCUCCUCAAUCACCCAUGCACAAACAUCCAGUUAAUGGGAGGCUGUUGACAGGGAAAUUAGCUUCUAUCCUCCUCCCCCCUCCUCUUUUUUUUUUUUUCUUUUGGUUUGUUUGUUUCAUUUUGUUUUAUACCAGCAAAAGAGAUGAGGCACUCUGUCUUGAGGAAUUCAUGCAAGGACACUCAGCACUGGAAGUGGCUGAAAGAUGUCUGGGAUUUGCAUUCCAUAGCCUGAGCCUCACAGCCAUAAGGGGAGAGCAGAGACAGGGGGAAAGAAAGAAAGUCAGAACGGUGUGAUGUUGGUUUUCUCUGCACAGUGGAAGAAAGAUUGGCCUUAUAUGAACGUUUGUAGGACUUUGUGGUCUUCUGCAUGGAAGAGUACUUUCCUCUAUUAAAAUAACUUUUAGCCCAUCUUGACUUCCUUCUACAGGAUCUACCCAAAAAUGCACACAUGGAACUUAAAGUCUGGAAACACAUUUUCUUCACCUCAAACCAGGAAUGGCUUCUCAGUUAUUGCUCAGGGGAUAGAGGAAAGGGACAAUGAUGAUUUAGAAAUGGGUUGAUCCUGGAAUUGCACAUUUUUCAUGGAAGGAGCUAAUUACUACAGUGCUUUUACUGUGCUCUGGUGAUCCAUCAUUUGCUUUUCUUUAGCUGCUUCAAUGCAAAUUGUCAUAAUUGUUAUGACUGUGUGCCUGAAAGAAGGAAUUAUCAUCUCAGAUAAAAGAGAAAUUCAGCACUUGGAGUUUGAGUCUAGAAAUAAUUUUACAGCUGUUUUGCACACACGAGUUUGAAACUCAGCCUUUGGUGGAAGAUUCCAAGACAGGUCUCUCUCAUUUGCAGUGGAGUAGUGGGACAUACUACAUAUCUGCAUGGUGCUCCUUCCAGACUGUUCUCCUAUGGUGUGAUGGUACAUGACAUGCAUAUCACUGAUUGUCCAUGAGGUCAGAGGAUUUGAAAGAACUCUUCCUUUCUCUAGUCUUAAUAUUCACCCUUACACCUGGUUGACCCUCUUUCAUCCCACAUGACUUUCAAUUAUUCCUGUAGGUGAAGUUAUUUUGAUAUUUAGAUACUUUGAUAUUUAGAUACUUAGAUAUUUUGAUACCAGAAACUCAGAACAAGGUUUUGUUCUCCCAUCACCUCAGCUGAUGUCUCAUACACAAAAGAAACAGAUUCCAGCAUGUUUAGCCAAAAAAUCCUGCAAGAGUUACCACAAGGCACAUUAGAGAGACUGGAUUUUGCAUGUAUUUACAAUUCGGGACAUAGUACACUUGUUAUUUCUCUUGCUUGCCCUUCCCACCCCUCUAAAGGAGAAAGGCAGUUGCUAAUGCAAAAUUUUACUUCAGGUUUGUGGAAAUCACGGAACAGUGAAUAAAAUGUGUUACAGGUUUUCUAAAAAGGCAGUUGUCUCUAGA
Meleagris gallopavo (turkey) is the source of this 2239-nucleotide non-coding RNA. The record is from RefSeq and is a predicted model, not a curated record. NCBI's taxonomy places the organism in Eukaryota, Metazoa, Chordata, Aves, Galliformes, Phasianidae.